Molecule: long non-coding RNA, 2588 nt
Filed under: Callithrix jacchus (white-tufted-ear marmoset)
Lineage: Eukaryota; Metazoa; Chordata; Mammalia; Primates; Cebidae
Description: lncRNA (ENSCJAG00000074311.1)
Source: RNAcentral
CGAACUUCUCCUUCUUGGGGUGCCGCUCCUGUCCGGCGGUCCCUCCCAUGGUGAUAGAGUGCUCUAUUUCCUUGAACACGCCCCUCCCUUUGCCCCUUCAGGCCUAGAAGUGGUGACGUCUUCUGCUGCUGACCUGGAGAACUUCACCUGCCCCUGAGGCUUCCUGAAGCCAGCCCACGCGGUGCAAAAGUCCAUUCCUUGAGACCUAUCUGUUGCCCAUCUGAGUGAGGCACAGGCAGCCUUGCAGGAUUUUCCUGAGUGCGUGACGAUUCGCGGGAAUUACCCAGUGCCCAGCUCGGUCCUUGGCUUAGAAAGAAAGUGUGCAGCCAGUGUUCCCCGAACCAAACCCAAGAUUUUCAAACGACCUGAAGCCCUUUGGAUGAAAGCAUUUAAAAAGUGCAAAGCUGUCCUUCUCUCCAUUCAAACCAUAUUCGAUUUCAUCGAUUUGGAAAGGGAGCAGGGGAAGUCACCUAUGACUCUGCACGGAAAAUCAGAUGUCUUGCAGGCGGAUGGAGGAUUCCAUUGCAGACCCGACCUCUAUGUGGAAUUGGAAAUCAGUGUUGUAAUUUCAGGUGGGGGCUCCAUGAAAGUUCUGUCUCCCAUCUUCUCCCGUCCCUCCUCAAAAUAGCUCUUCCUGUUAUACACAGUGCUAGAAAUUUACCCAUGCAGCAUGCAACCCUCAAGCCUUCCACUAAAGUCAGAUGUCUCUGAGAAACUGAACACCUUAAGCCAGAACCAAUAAAUAUACCACACAGUUGCUGACACUUCCAAGUCCAGGGCAGACAUUGCUAAUCGAUCAGACACGGUUUCCAACAAAGGCUUGAUUUUGAUAGGGAGCUCCAGGCAGACAUUCCCAAUGGAUCAGUCACUGCAUGGGUGGAAACUGUUAGCCAUCCCCGUCUGAAAACAUGGUGGAGAUGGAGAUGAUGAAGAGGAAAGCAUUCAGCUUCCAAAAGCCCUGAUUUCUCUCUUUUGUUGUUUCUUUUUCUUUCUUUCUUUUUUUGAGACAGAGUCUUCCUCUGCCAGCCAGGCUGGAGUGCAGUGGUGUGAUCACGGCAACCUUUGCCUUUUGAGAUUGAGCUAUUCUUCCACCUCGGCCUCCCGAGUAGCUGAGACUACAGGUGCACACCACCACACCCAGCUAAUUUUUUGGUAUAUUUUGCAGAGAUAGAUUUUGCCAAGUUGCAAGGGUUAGUCUAGAACUCCUGGGCUCAAGUGAUCUGUCCGCCUCAGCCUCCCAGAGUGCUGGGAUUAUAGGCAUGAGGCAUAGUGCCCAGUUUGUUGUUUCUUUCUUCUUUUCUUUUCUUUUUUUUUUUGAGAUGGAGUCUUGCUCUGUCGCUCCGGCUGGAGUGCAGUGAUGCAAUCUUGGCUUGUUGCAACCACCGCCUCCCAGGUUCAAGCAAUUCUCCUGCCUCAGCCUCCCAAGUAGCUGGGAUUACAGGCACCUGUCACCAAGCCUGGCUAAUUUGUUGUUGUUGUUGUUGUUGUAUUUUUAGUAGAGAUGGGGUUUCACCAUGUUGGUCAGGCUGAUCUCGAACUCCUGACCUCAGGUAAUCCACCUGCCUCGGUCUCCCAAAUUGUUGGGAUUACAGGCAUGAGCCACUGCACCUGGCCUCUGUUGUUUCAUUUUUAGCAUAAAGUCCACCACACCUUUCCCCCCAAUAUUUACCGUGACAUUUUGAUUUCUGUUCUAAGCAGAUUCACUCCAAGUGGCCUUUCUCCUGUUACUUGUUUUGUUUACAUAACAGGAACCUCCUGUUAUAAAAAAGGCAAGGAGCUUGCAGUUAAGAAAGGGCAGUCAGGGACCUGCAGGUCACUGGUACAAUGUCUGACUUUCUAGAAAAGACAAAACUAUCCACCAAACGCCUCUGGCUGUCUCAGAGAGCCAGUUGAUGAAGUGGGGAGACAGUAAAGUUCUGGCUCAAAUGCAGCUCCAGUUCUUCUGAACAGAACCAGUUGGUGCUGAGCCCUUAUGGGCCCGUCCUGGGUUGGGGCACAGGCAUGAAUUGAGCAUAAACCCUGUGUCCCUUUCUUGGGGCUGCUGUAAUACAAGACCACAAACCAGGCAGCUUAAAACAACAGAAAUUGACUCAUAGUUCAGGAGGCUGGAGGCCAAAGUCAAGGUGUCGGGAGGGUCAGCCCCUUCUGAGGCUGGGAGGGAACCUGCUCCAGGCCUCUCUCCUGGUAGUUUCUGGCAAUCUUGAUGUUCCUUGGCUUGCAGACGCGUCGCUCCAGUCUAGGCAUCCGUCUUCACAUGGCUGCCCUCCUCUCUGCAUCUCCUUUCUGUCUCUUAUAAGGAAAUGUGUCAUUGAUUUAGGGUGCCCCAAUAACCAAGCCGAGGCAGAGAAGGUGUGUGCCUCUGAACAGGGGGCAGGAAGCUCAGGGCGGGAGCAGGCAUCAGAACUGAGUCCUGAAGGCUGACUGGGAAGUGGGGAGGUGGAGUGUGGGGGGCCGUGUCUCAGGGCGCCAGAAGUGUGACAGGGCCCCAUAGUGCAAGGACAGCUCUUCUCCCCUGCUCAUGGCAGGGUAAGUGUGAGCUCCUGCGGAGGGGCAUCUGGGCCGACUCUGUAGUCAUGAGCUGGCUUAGG